UGGGGAAUAUUGCACAAUGGGGGAAACCCUGAUGCAGCGAUGCCGCGUGAAUGAUGAAGGCUUUCGAGUCGUAAAGUUCUGUUCUUAGGGAAGAUAAUGACGGUACCUAAGAAGAAAGUCCCGGCUAAAUACGUG
RNAcentral lists this ribosomal RNA (135 nucleotides) under uncultured Gram-positive bacterium. RNAcentral describes it as "partial 16S ribosomal RNA". It matches the Rfam family "Bacterial small subunit ribosomal RNA", at positions 355 to 507 of the family's 1533-position model. The record is from RNAcentral.